Poecile atricapillus (Black-capped chickadee) is the source of this 1582-nucleotide long non-coding RNA. RefSeq lists it as uncharacterized. NCBI's taxonomy places the organism in Eukaryota, Metazoa, Chordata, Aves, Passeriformes, Paridae. The transcript has 3 exons. The record is from RefSeq and is a predicted model, not a curated record.
UGUGAGGGGACCGGCACCGGGACCGCGACCGGCACCGGGACCGCGACCGGCAACGGGCUCUUCUGGCGGAUCGCUGCCCUCACAGCCGGCUGCGGCACCGGGAGCCCUCCCGGUGUCCCCGCAGCAUGCCCCGCCACUGCAGCAGAUGCUGCCGAGCAAAGUUGUGACAGAGCUUGACCACAGAGAGCAGCAAAUCCGAGUGGGACGAAACCUGAGCAAAUGAGAAUCCUGCUCCCUGCUUGAAGAGAGAUCACCUUAUAUGGGAACACCAUGGACAAGAGGAUGAAUGCAUCCGGCCGGCUGCUGGGACUCUGAGCCUGGGAUUUACAAGUUGGACCUUGAGGGCUCUGCACCUUUCCAGCCUCACCUCCUGUGUGUACAGUGUCAAUGGUGGCCUCACAGCUCUCCCUGCCCCCUGGACCAGAUGCACACAGUUGGCUCAGAACACACUGAGCAGCUGCAGCUUUGUGUGACUCUGCACAGCAGGAGAGGCACAGCCAAGGUGUGUACCAUGGACUGGCUCUGCCGAGAGGAGCAGUGACUUCAUCACUCCUUUUUGAUCCCAGCACCUGAUGCAAAACCAGACUAAGACUAGGUAGAAUGUCUUAUCUCAUAUUGUCCCAAGCAAUAUGAGAUAAGAAGCUGGAGAUGUCUGUGGCCACUGAUGACCCCAGAACCUGCUUCACCACUGCCCUGUGCCCUGCCUGGCACUGCCAGCCCUGUGGAGUGGGCGUUGUGUGCGUCUGCCCAGCCCAGAAGAGUGUUGCACCUUCUUUGCACUGGUGUGAAGUGUUGGGGGUGCAGAGUCAGGCCCAGAGGAGGUUGGCCUGAUGCUGGCUUCCAUCCAUUUAGCCCCCGUUGUCCCAGCAUUGCUUCAGACUGGCAAAGCCUGGUAGUACUAAGGUUUGCUACUAUGGCAGCAAACAAGACCAAACAAGAUCAUUGAACUGGUGUUAGACCACCUUGGAGGGUGGAUGUGGUUGUGGGAAUUCCGAGGUGGGAGUGUGGCAUAGCAUGUUAUUUAACAAGGAGGGGUUGGUUGGGCAGAGUUAACUAAGCUUCCUUUAGAAAACACUGUUUUCUUUCUUGCCAUGCUGUCUUGUUUUGUUUCUUGUCUGAAAAAUCCAAAAUAACUCCAUAGAUUAGUCUCAGGUUUGCACCAGUGUUUCUGAGAUUAGAGCCUGCUCUGUAGAGCCUCCAGUUCAAGGUCAGAUGAAAUGGCGAGUCACCCCUUGCAGCAGAUUCCAAGAACAAUAAGAUGUUUUAGGAAUAUGCCAUAACUGAUUGCCUCUAAAGGGCAAAUUUUGCUCUGUGCUGCCAAGCAAGGGCUGUUCUUAGUGAUAAGUUUGCUGAACAAAGUCUGCUGAGGUUCGUGGAGGGCAGCAGGCCAGGACAUUGCGCACGCCAAUCCCAAUCGCACCAAGGAUCAAGUCUGCAGGAAAUCCAAGUGGCCUUGCUAAGGUUCUGUGCCCACCUUCUGCUACUUAGAGCUGGGUUCCCACUGCCACUUUCCAACAACAUUGUUAUCCCAAAGCACUGUUCUCCAGGAGGAAAAGGCUGAAAUGCUGUCAAAAUAGAGGAU